RNAcentral lists this ribosomal RNA (506 nucleotides) under uncultured bacterium. Its description in RNAcentral is "partial 16S ribosomal RNA". It matches the Rfam family "Bacterial small subunit ribosomal RNA", at positions 29 to 523 of the family's 1533-position model. The record is from RNAcentral.
AGUGAACGCUGGCGGUAGGCCUAACACAUGCAAGUCGAACGGCAGCACAGGAGAGCUUGCUCUCUGGGUGGCGAGUGGCGGACGGGUGAGGAAUACAUCGGAAUCUACUCUGUCGUGGGGGAUAACGUAGGGAAACUUACGCUAAUACCGCAUACGACCUACGGGUGAAAGCAGGGGACCUUCGGGCCUUGCGCGAUUGAAUGAGCCGAUGUCGGAAUAGUUAGUUGGCGGGGUAAAGGCCCACCAAGGCGACGAUCCUAAGCUGGUUUUAGAGGAUGAUCAGCCACACGGGAACUGAGACACGGUCCAGACUCCUACGGGAGGCAGCAGUGGGGAAGAUUGGACAAUGGGCGCAAGCCUGAUCCAGCCAUACCGCGUGGGUGAAGAAGGCCUUCGGGUUGUAAAGCCCUUUUGUUGGGAAAGAAAUCCAGCUGGCUAAUACCCGGUUGGGAUGACGGUACCCAAAGAAUAAGCACCGGCUAACUUCGUGCCAGCCGCCGCCGUAA